GACGAACGCUGGCGGCGGGCUUAACACAUGCAAGUCGAACGGAGUGGCGAACGGGGGGGUAACUCAUGGGUGACCUGCCCUGCACUUCGGGAGAAGCCUGGGAAACUGGGUCUAAUCACGCAUAGUGUGGGAUGGGCCCGCGGCCUAUCAGCUUGUUGGGGGGGUAAUGGCCUACCAAGGCGGGGACGGGUACCCGGCCUGGGAGGGUGGACGGCCACAAUGGGACUGAGACACGACCCAGACGCCUACGGGAGGCAGCAGUGGGGAAUAUUGCACAAUGGGCGGAAGCCUGAUGGAGAGACGUCGCGUGGGGGAUGACGGCCUUCGGGUUGUAAACUCCUUGCACCCUCGACGCGGUAGAUGGAGAAGAAGCACCGGCUAACUACGUGCCAGCAGCCGCGGUAAUUC
RNAcentral lists this ribosomal RNA (408 nucleotides) under uncultured bacterium. RNAcentral's name for it is "partial 16S ribosomal RNA". It matches the Rfam family "Bacterial small subunit ribosomal RNA", at positions 28 to 526 of the family's 1533-position model. The record is from RNAcentral.